GGAAGAUGAUUAACUUGUCUACUAUACCUCCUAAGGAAAACAAAUCCACACUUUCACUAGAUACACUUGUCAAUAGGAUUGAAUCAGAAAAUUUAGGGAAAGAAAACAUGUAUGUUGUUGCACUGGGUAAUCGAAAUCGAAUGAACUUCUCUGCACUUGCAAAUUGUAAGUCAGAAAUCCAAGGAAUCAAGGGAUAUGCACAUUUGAAUCAUAGGAUCUAUUCUCUUUCUGAAGAAUGCCUGUUUUCGGAGUUAGAUUGCCUGACGUCUUCAAUCAUUCUAACAACUUCCUCCAUGUUGGGUCGCAUGUCUGGGACCUUUACAACACAUGCCAUAGCAAUUUGCAGCAUUUGUACCAUCUCUUCUUCAAUGUUUUGAAAUCUCAUCAAAUCGACGUCAAAAACCUCUGAUGUCCAUUCCUCCCUGACAACUGAUUGGACCCACCUAGGAAGGUCAACCAUGUCAUCACGCCCCGGUGAUUGCAUUGGCUGCUUACCAGUAAGCAUCUCGAGUAGUAACACACCGAAGCUGUAGACAUCUGAUUUAUGACUAUGCUUUCGGCUUUCUAUCACCUCAGGAGCCCGGUACCCUGGAUAUCGGGAUGGGGCUGCAGGGAAGUUCAUUAUAGGGGCUAAACCAAAAUCUGAGAUGCAAGCUUCCAUAUCUUGCUUGAGUAGGACGUUUGAGGACUUUAUAUUUC
This 699-nucleotide unclassified non-coding RNA is filed under the name Hevea brasiliensis (rubber tree). The record is from RNAcentral. Lineage: Eukaryota; Viridiplantae; Streptophyta; Magnoliopsida; Malpighiales; Euphorbiaceae.